UAGGGAAUCUUCGGCAAUGGGGGGAACCCUGACCGAGCAACGCCGCGUGAGUGAAGAAGGUUUUCGGAUCGUAAAGCUCUGUUGUUAAGGAAGAACGAGUGUGAGAAUGGAAAGUUCAUGCUGUGACGGUACUUAACCAGAAAGGGACGGCUAACUACGUGCCAGCAGUCGCGGUAAUACGUAGGUCCCGAGCGUUGUCCGGAUUUAUUGGGCGUAAAGCGAGCGCAGGCGGUUAGAAAAGUCUGAAGUGAAAGGCAGUGGCUCAACCAUUGUAGGCUUUGGAAACUGUUUAACUUGAGUGCAGAAGGGGAGAGUGGAAUUCCAUGUGUAGCGAUGAAAUGCGUAGAUAUAUGGAGGAACACCGGUGGCGAAAGCGGCUCUCUGGUCUGUAACUGACGCUGAGGCUCGAAAGCGUGGGGAGCGAACAGG
RNAcentral lists this ribosomal RNA (429 nucleotides) under Bacteroidota bacterium. Its description in RNAcentral is "Bacteroidetes bacterium partial 16S ribosomal RNA". It matches the Rfam family "Bacterial small subunit ribosomal RNA", at positions 355 to 776 of the family's 1533-position model. The record is from RNAcentral. Lineage: Bacteria; Pseudomonadati; Bacteroidota.